AGAUGACCUAUCUCUUAGUCUUCUUCUUCCCCACUUUUUUUUUUUAAGGAAAAUGCGUGUUGGUUUUGAUCUAAAAUAUUGAAUGUAUUUGGUCAGUUGUAAGCACCUGGCAGAAAGGGCCUUCUGCGAAUUCCAUUAGUACAGAAUCGAAUCAUACCACAUGUUAGUGUUUGAAAAUUUAUUCCAUCCAUUCUACGCAGACCUGAGG
Molecule: long non-coding RNA, 208 nt
Filed under: Elaeis guineensis (African oil palm)
Lineage: Eukaryota; Viridiplantae; Streptophyta; Magnoliopsida; Arecales; Arecaceae
Description: long non-coding RNA (EGUI_LNC006477)
Source: RNAcentral